UACGUAGGGUGCGAGCGUUAAUCGGAAUUACUGGGCGUAAAGCGUGCGCAGGCGGUUCGUUAAGUCAGAUGUGAAAGCCCCGGGCUCAACCUGGGAACUGCAUUUGAAACUGGCGGGCUUGAGUGUGGCAGAGGGGGGUGGAAUUCCGCGUGUAGCAGUGAAAUGCGUAGAGAUGCGGAGGAACACCGAUGGCGAAGGCAGCCCCCUGGGCUAACACUGACGCUCAGGCACGAAAGCGUGGGGAGCAAACAGG
This 253-nucleotide ribosomal RNA is filed under the name uncultured bacterium. Its description in RNAcentral is "partial 16S ribosomal RNA". It matches the Rfam family "Bacterial small subunit ribosomal RNA", at positions 524 to 776 of the family's 1533-position model. The record is from RNAcentral.